RNAcentral lists this ribosomal RNA (400 nucleotides) under uncultured bacterium. RNAcentral describes it as "partial 16S ribosomal RNA". It matches the Rfam family "Bacterial small subunit ribosomal RNA", at positions 338 to 735 of the family's 1533-position model. The record is from RNAcentral.
CCUACGGGUGGCAGCAGUGAGGAAUAUUGGUCAAUGGACGAGAGUCUGAACCAGCCAAGUAGCGUGAAGGAUGACGGCCCUAUGGGUUGUAAACUGCUUUUGUACAGGGAUAAAAGGAGGCACGUGUGCCUGUUUGCAUGUACCUUAUGAAUAAGGAUCGGCUAACUCCGUGCCAGCAGCCGCGGUAAUACGGAGGAUUCAAGCGUUAUCCGGAUUUAUUGGGUUUAAAGGGAGCGUAGAUGGUCGGUUAAGUCAGUGGUGAAAUUUUGAGGCUCAACUGCAAAAUUGCCAUUGAUACUGGUCGUCUUGAGUACAGUUGAGGUAGGCGGAAUGUGUGGUGUAGCGGUGAAAUGCUUAGAGAUCAUGAAGAACCCCGAUUGCGAAGGCAGCUUACUAAGCU